RNAcentral lists this ribosomal RNA (1479 nucleotides) under metagenome. RNAcentral's name for it is "bacterial SSU rRNA". It matches the Rfam family "Bacterial small subunit ribosomal RNA". The record is from RNAcentral.
AGAGUUUGAUCCUGGCUCAGAACGAACGCUAGCGGUGCGCUUUAAGCAUGCAAGUCGAGCGGUAAGGCCCUUCGGGGUACACGAGCGGCAAACGGGUGCGUAACACGUGACUACCAACCCAGUGGUGGGGGAUAGCCUAGGGAAACUUAGGGUAGACCUCCAUAAGCCCGGCAACGGGGAAAUCUCCGGAGCCAUUGGACGGGGUUGCGGCCCAUUAGUUAGUUGGCGGGGUAAUGGCCCACCAAGACGAUGAUGGGUAGCCGGUUUGAGAGAAUGGCCGGCCACAUUGGGACUGCGACACGGCCCAGACUCCUACGGGAGGCAGCAGCUAGGAAUCUUCCGCAAUGGGCGAAAGCCUGACGGAGCGACACCGCGUGUAUGAUGAAUGCCUUUACGGGUUGUAAAGUACUUUUGCAGGAGAAGAUGGUUUGGCAUUAGGCUGAAUUGACGUUAUUCUGCGAAUAAGCCCCGGCUAAUUCCGUGCCAGCAGCCGCGGUAAUACGGAAGGGGCAAGCGUUGUUCGGAAUUAUUGGGCGUAAAGGGAGCGUAGGCGGCGUGUUAAGUGGAGCUAUUCAGUGACGGGCUCAACCUGUCAAUUGGUUCCAAACUGACAUGCUAGAGUCCGCUAGAGGAUACUGGAAUUCCGGGUGUAGGGGUGAAAUCUAAAGAUAUCCGGAGGAACACCGAUGGCGAAGGCAGGUAUCUGGGGCUGGACUAACGCUGAGGCUCGAAAGCCAGGGGAGCAAACGGGAUUAGAUACCCCGGUAGUCCUGGCUGUAAACGUUGUCAACUAGGUGGUGAUUGUGUCGAUCCAAGCGCCAUCCAAGCAAACGUGAUAAGUUGACCGCCUGGGGAGUAUGCACGCAAGUGUGAAACUCAAAGGAAUUGACGGGGGCCCGCACAAGCGGUGGAGCAUGUGGUUUAAUUCGAUGAUACGCGAGGAACCUUACCUGGGUUUGACAUCUUGAUGACUGCCGGUGAAAGCCGGUUUCCCUUCGGGGCAUCAGGACAGGUGCUGCAUGGCUGUCGUCAGCUCGUGUCGUGAGAUGUGGUGGUUAAGUCCCGCAACGAGCGCAACCCUUGUCCUGUGUUGCCAGCCAGGCUUCGGUCUGGGGCACUCUCAGGAGACUGCUGUCGAAAGGCAGAGGAAGGAAAGGAUGACGUCAAGUCCUCAUGGCUCUUACAUCCAGGGCUACACACGUGCUACAAUGGCUACUACAAACGCUGCAACCUCGCAAGAGCAAGCGAAUCGUAAAAAAGUAGUCUCAGUUCGGAUUGCAGUCUGAAACUCGACUGCAUGAAGCUGGAAUCGCUAGUAAUCGUAUAUCAGCAUGAUACGGUGAAUACGUUCCCGGGCCUUGUACACACCGCCCGUCACACCACCCGAAUUGAGCCGGCCCGAAGUCCGCAGUAUCCUGCGGCCGAAGGUCAGUUCAGUAAGGGGGGUGAAGUCGUAACAAGGUAGCCGUACCGGAAGGU